CGGCGUGCCAGCGGGAACGUCUCGUGAACGUCGUCGGCUGCGGCGGUGUUCUUGUGUGUGAGAAAGAUAGAUCGUACAUCUAGAUAGAUCGGACAAGGCAUUCGCUCGAGGUGGAGCUUCGCGCAAGACCUGCAAAGCAGUGGCUGCUCACCAUCAAGAUUCUCAUCAUGGCAAGGGCCGGCACAAGAUUUAUCAUCACCGAGCAAAGGGACCUGGCUCCAACAAAGGAAAAAACCGAGAGCUUCAAUGAAGCGCACAAAGGGAGCAUAAACGCCACAUUGGUAAGCGACAGUGAGCUGCUCAUAAAGAUCGACAAUGAAGAAGCGGCAAGAGCCGCGACCGCGAAGGUUGAGGGAGUAGGACAUGCUUCAUUGUCUGUCCAAACCAAUGUCCACAAAGACCGUAUUCAAAUGGUCUUUGAGAAAAAAGAACUUGGCGGGCCUUCAAAAGACGGCGAGACUAAGUAUGGCACAGCCAUCACUGUGAUAUUCGUGAACAUGGACGAGGGGCUGGUGCGAAAGGUCGCAAGGCUUAUUAUUUCUUCACUGUAAAUAAACUAUCACGCUCGAACAGCAAAGCCUCCCCGAGUGAUGGCAAAGUCAACUCCCCCAACCUAAUGUGUUGAAUGAGCUCCGCACUGUUUGCAUUUUGUGAACGCUGUCUUUGAUUUUUUUGUUCGCCCUACAUUCGAGGUUAUAUAUCUUUUUGUUGGCUUCAGACUUUAGGGGGUCAGCUUAGCAUUGGGGUCGGCCUAGAUUCGAGCAAAUACGGUAUAAGAAAAUUCUUCCAAGCGGACAAUUCUAUGACGUCACAUGAAACGUGCACACAUG
Dermacentor andersoni is the source of this 830-nucleotide long non-coding RNA. RefSeq lists it as uncharacterized. NCBI's taxonomy places the organism in Eukaryota, Metazoa, Arthropoda, Arachnida, Ixodida, Ixodidae. The record is from RefSeq and is a predicted model, not a curated record.